UCUGCCCAGUGACAUUAAUUUAACGGCCGCAGUACCUUGACUGUGCAAAGGUAGCAUAAUCACUUGACUUUUAAAUGGAGCCUAGUAUGAAAGAAAGAACGUAGACUGUUUGUCUCAUUAAUAAUAUCUUUAAAUUGCUAGAUGAGUGAAAAUACUCAUAAUUAUAAUAAUAGACGAGAAGACCCUUAGAAUUUUAAAAAUAAAUAAUUAAGAAUUAUGUAAAUUUUUGUUGGGGCAACAAUAUUUCAUAUAAAAUAAAUAUUUUAUAGUAAGAUAAAUCGAUUUUAGUAAUUAUAGAAAAAUUACCUAAGGGAUAACAGCAUAAUUUUAAUAAUAAGCUUGUGACCUCGAUGUUGGACUAGGUUCUAUUAAGGCUAAUCGUUUUAAUAUAAUAGGUUCUGUUCGAACUUUGCUACCUACAUGAUCUGAGUUCAAACCGGAGCUC
Molecule: ribosomal RNA, 445 nt
Filed under: Albinaria voithii
Lineage: Eukaryota; Metazoa; Mollusca; Gastropoda; Stylommatophora; Clausiliidae
Description: partial 16S ribosomal RNA
Rfam family: Bacterial large subunit ribosomal RNA
Source: RNAcentral